GCCGGUUUAGCUCAGUUGGUAGAGCACCUGAUUUGUAAUCAGGGGGUCGGAGGUUCAAGUCCUCUAGCCGGCACCA
This 76-nucleotide transfer RNA is filed under the name Rhodospirillaceae bacterium. RNAcentral's name for it is "tRNA-Thr". It matches the Rfam family "tRNA". Rfam says of the family: Transfer RNA (tRNA) molecules are approximately 80 nucleotides in length. Their secondary structure includes four short double-helical elements and three loops (D, anti-codon, and T loops). The record is from RNAcentral. Lineage: Bacteria; Pseudomonadati; Pseudomonadota; Alphaproteobacteria; Rhodospirillales; Rhodospirillaceae.